AGAUUGAACGCUGGCGGCAUGCCUUACACAUGCAAGUCGAACGGCAGCACGGGAGCAAUCCUGGUGGCGAGUGGCGAACGGGUGAGUAAUACAUCGGAACGUGCCCAAUCGUGGGGGAUAACGCAGCGAAAGCUGUGCUAAUACCGCAUAAGAUCUACGGAUGAAAGCAGGGGAUCGCAAGACCUUGCGCGAAUGGAGCGGCCGAUCGGCAGAUUAGGUAGUUGG
RNAcentral lists this ribosomal RNA (225 nucleotides) under uncultured soil bacterium. RNAcentral's name for it is "partial 16S ribosomal RNA". It matches the Rfam family "Bacterial small subunit ribosomal RNA", at positions 26 to 252 of the family's 1533-position model. The record is from RNAcentral.